CCCUUAGACGUUCUGGGCCGCACGCGCGUUACACUGACCAGUGCAACAAGCAUCCGUCCUUGGCCGACAGGCUCGGGCAAUCUUUGAACGCUGGUCGUGAUGGGGAUAGACUUUUGCAAUUUUUGGUCUUCAACGAGGAAUUCCUAGUAAACGCAAGUCAUCAACUUGCAUUGAUUACGUCCCUGCCCUUUGUACACACCGCCCGUCGCACCUACCGAUUGAAUGGUCCGGUGAAGCCUCCGGAUUGGCGCGCACCUCGGUGCCGCCGAGAAGUUGGCUAAACCUUACCAUUUAGAGGAAGGUGAAGUCGUAACA
RNAcentral lists this ribosomal RNA (315 nucleotides) under uncultured eukaryote. RNAcentral's name for it is "partial 18S ribosomal RNA". It matches the Rfam family "Eukaryotic small subunit ribosomal RNA", at positions 1470 to 1796 of the family's 1831-position model. The record is from RNAcentral.